GAGGGUAUAGCUCAGUGGUAGAGUGUGUGCUUGGCAUGCACAAGGUCCUGCGUUCAAUCCCCAGUACCUCCA
Molecule: transfer RNA, 72 nt
Filed under: Camelus bactrianus (Bactrian camel)
Lineage: Eukaryota; Metazoa; Chordata; Mammalia; Artiodactyla; Camelidae
Also listed under: 2 other names
Rfam family: tRNA
About the family: Transfer RNA (tRNA) molecules are approximately 80 nucleotides in length. Their secondary structure includes four short double-helical elements and three loops (D, anti-codon, and T loops).
Source: Rfam by way of RNAcentral